This 1638-nucleotide ribosomal RNA is filed under the name Triticum aestivum (bread wheat). Its description in RNAcentral is "partial small subunit ribosomal RNA". The record is from RNAcentral. Lineage: Eukaryota; Viridiplantae; Streptophyta; Magnoliopsida; Poales; Poaceae.
AUGGCGGGCGCGAAGGACGAGGGGCCGGCGAUCGGCAUCGACCUCGGGACGACCUACUCCUGCGUGGCCGUGUGGCGGCCGUCGCACAACCGUGUCGAGGUCAUCCCCAACGACCAGGGCAACCUCACCACGCCGUCCUGCGUUGCCUUCACCGACACCUGCCGUCUCAUCGGCGACGCGGCCAUGAACCAGGCCGCAAUGAACUCCGUCAACACCGUCUUCGACGCAAAGCGACUUAUUGGCCGGCGAUUCAGUGACACGUCCGUACAAAGUGAUAUCAAGCUAUGGCCUUUCAAAGUCAUUCAAGGUCCUGGUGACCGGCCGGUGAUCGUAGUGCAGUACAGGGGGUUGGAGAAGCAGUUCGUUGCUGCAGAGAUCUCCUCCAUGUUGCUGAUGAAGAUGCGUGAGGUGGCCGAGGCCUACCUAGGCACAGCGGUGAAGAACGCCGUCAUCACUGUCCCGGUCUACUUCAAUGACUCCCAGCGCCAGGCUACCCUUGACGCCGGCACCAUUGCUGGCCUCAACGUCAUGCGCAUCAUCAACGAGCCCUCAGCUGCAGUCAUCGCUUAUGGUCUUGACAGGACGUCCAGCAGCAGUGAAGUGAAGAUGGUGCUCAUAUUUGAUCUUGGCGGCGGUACCUUGGAUAUCUCGGUUAUCAAUAUUGACAAGGGAAUCUGUACGGUCAAGGCCACUGCUGGUGACACUCACCUUGGUGGGGAGGAUCUUAACAGCCAGAUGGUGCAGCACUUCGUGCAGGAUAUUCUUAGGAGACACAAGAGUGACAUCAGAAGCAACCCGAGGGCGCUCAUGCGGCUGAGGAUGGCUUGCGAGAGGGCAAAGAGGAUGCUAACUUCCACAGUGCAGGCCAAAAUUGAGAUUGACUCGCUCCACGAUGGCAUUGACUUCUAUGGGACCAUCACUCGUGCCCGGUUUGAGGAGCUUAACAUGGGCCUCUUUCGCAAGUGCAUUGAGCACGUCGAGAAGUGCCUCAGCGAUGCCAAGGUGGAGAAGUCUCAAAUCCACGAUGUCGUGCUUGUGGGAGGCUCCACCAGGAUCCCCAAGAUUCAGCAGCUGCUUAAUGAUUUCUUCAACGGGAAGAAAUUAUGCAAGAGCAUCAACCCUGACGAGGCUGUCGCCAUUGGCGCUGCUGUACAGGCCGCCACCCUCAGCGGUGAGGGCAACCAGAAGGUGCAGGAUUUGAUCCUUCUUGACGUCACACCACUCUCGCUCGGGGUAGAGAUAGUAAGUGGUAUCAUGGGUGACCCUGGUAUCAUGAGCGUGCUGAUACCCAGGAACACCACCAUCCCCGUUAAGAGAGAUGGGCCUUACACAACCAUAUACGACUACCAGACCAGCGUGACCUUCCCGUUGUACGAAGGUGAAGGGGAGUUUACCAAGGACAACAACCUCCUGGGACAGGUCACGGUCUCUGGUAUUCCCCCAGAGCUUAAGGGCAUGGCACGACUCAGAGUGACAUAUGAAGUCGAAGCGAACGGUAUCAUGAGGGUGUCGGCGGAGGACCUGACGACUGGAAACAAGAGCAGCGUCACCAUCGACAAGGGUGGGCUGAGGAAGGAGGAGAUAAAUCGCAUGAUGCGGAUGCUGGGAAGUACAAGUCCGAGGACAAGAAACAAAUAA